Callithrix jacchus (white-tufted-ear marmoset) is the source of this 2156-nucleotide non-coding RNA. The record is from RefSeq and is a predicted model, not a curated record. Lineage: Eukaryota; Metazoa; Chordata; Mammalia; Primates; Cebidae.
CACUUUGCUGUGAAGAUGGUGUCGGGCAGCGGGACAAAAAUUUGGACUUCGCCGAAAGUGUGACAAAGAUGAAUACAAGAAACUCGCCGAGAAGAGGCUCACGGAAGAGAGAGUAAAGAAGGAUGGAAAACCAGUGCAGCCUGUCAAGCGAGAGCUUUUACGGCGCAGGGACUACAGGGUGGACUUGGAAUCCAAACUUGGGAAGACAAUUGUUAUUACCAAGACGACACCUCAAUCUGAGAUGGGAGGAUGUUAUUGCAAUGUCUGUGACUGUGUGGUGAAGGACUCCAUCAACUUUCUGGAUCACAUUAAUGGAAAGAAACAUCAGAGAAACCUCGGCAUGUCUAUGUGUGUGGAACGUUCCACCCUGGAUCGGGUGAAGAAACUUUCUGAGGUCAACAAGAAGAAGAUGGAAGAAAAGCAGAAGGAUUAUGAUUUUGAGGAAAGGAUGAAGGAGCUCAGAGAAGAGGAGGAAAAGGCCAAAGCAUACAAGAAAGAGAAACAGAAGGAGAAGAAAAGGAGGGCUGAGGAGGACUUGACAUUUGAGGAGGAUGAUGAGAUGGCAGCUGUGAUGGGCUUCUCUGGCUUUGGUUCCACCAAGAAGAGUUACUGAGGCUUUCUAUGCUUGGCCUAACUUUGGCCUAUGCUGGACCUAACUUUGUGUGUGUUUGUAGUGGGGGGGGUGGUAAUUUCUUUUUGGGUAAUGGGAAAGUCCUUAAGAGUGUUAAUGGGGAGGGACAGAAGUUGGGGCUCAUGGUUUCCUCUACUUUGGGAGAGGACACAGAUUGCAGAGGCAAUGCUGUGGCAUAUUCCCUCAGCCUCAGUAUAUCACUGGAGUCAUAGGACCCCUGUCCACCUGAGUUCCCAAUAAAGAAAAACCUCCCUUUCUGAGGCUGCUUUCCCAAAACACUCCCUGCAUCUCAAUCUCUCCAUCUAUCCAACCUCUUGUCUGAGCAUCCCACCUUUAUUCUGUGUUCUGCCUUUGUUCUAAUUUUAACUCAUGUUCAGCCUGCAACAGAAGCAUUCUCUAGGUCCCAGUUUCCAGUUGAUUGCAUAUCCUUGACCAGCCCUUUUUCCCAUCCUGCCCUAUGGUUCUCUAGCCACCUGUGCAUGCAUGUGUAUUUCUGCCUGGUUUUAUGAUGUGCGUGGAUGUGUGUGCAUGAAUCUGUCACAUAGAGGGGGCCUGAGCUGGAAUCUCAGAGCAUUGCUGCCCUGGGACCUAAUGUUCUUGGCUUCCUCAGAGCAUGUAACAGGAAAUUAAAUGGGAUGAGUGUUUGGUUAAAAAAAAAAAAAAAAAAAUCCAAUUUUUUUUGCCGAGACACUCCUUUAAUAAAUAUCUCAUACAAUGAUUCUGCCUUCGGUUCUGUUUUUCCUGUGUAGGCCUAGGGAGUGCCAGGUGCCUCCCUCCCCUCCUAUACUAUUUUGGCUCCUGCUCUGAAGGAAAUAGUAAAACUGCUUUAUAGAGAGGAGAAGCUUUAGCUGGAGAACAGCUCUGUCUUCCUAGGAACCAGGGACAGUCAAUAACCAGGAAGGACCGAGGGCCAAAGGGCCCUUGCUAAUCUUACUAUAAGAUGGGCACUUUUAGGAAAGGAUUUUUAGCUAGUGUUUCUCCUUGCUUUUAAUGACCCCAGCCCCGCCUGGAGUGGCUAGAAGCCAGCAGGCACCCACAUGCUACUUACCAGUGCCUCAGCUUUCCCCCAGCCCGGGUCAGGCCGUGGGAGCCACUGUUAUCUGUGUUUUCUGCCGAAGACUCUUGGGGGGCCUUACACCUACCCUGUGCAUCGGGGCUGGACCAGGCUCCUGCGUCCUCACUCAGGUUUGCUCCCACUAGGCCCACUGCUGUAUGAUCUGGGGGCCACCACCCUGGGCCAGUGGCCUCUGGGCUGCCCCCAUGGUGUGGAGGCAGAGCUGGUGCCCACAGCACUUCCUCCUUGCUCCCACCCCUGGCAGCAGGGAAGGGCUUUGCCUGACAACACCCAGCUUUAUGUAAAUAUUCUGCAGUUGUUACUUAGGAAGCAUGGGGAGGGCAAGGGUGUCCCAUGCCCCAUGGCUCCCACUCUGUGCCGAAUGUAUUACAAAUCCUUGGGGGCGAUGCCCGGCCCUGGGAUGCUGUUUGGAGAAGGAAUAAAUGUUUUCUCAUUCAAAAAAAAAAAAAA